RNAcentral lists this transfer RNA (74 nucleotides) under Vitis vinifera (wine grape). It matches the Rfam family "tRNA". Rfam says of the family: Transfer RNA (tRNA) molecules are approximately 80 nucleotides in length. Their secondary structure includes four short double-helical elements and three loops (D, anti-codon, and T loops). The record is from Rfam by way of RNAcentral. Lineage: Eukaryota; Viridiplantae; Streptophyta; Magnoliopsida; Vitales; Vitaceae.
GUUGGAAUAGUUCAGUUCGCUAGAGCAUGUGGUUGUUAACCACAAGGUUGGAGGUUCAAGCUCUCCUUCUAGUU